Molecule: non-coding RNA, 666 nt
Organism: Taeniopygia guttata (zebra finch)
Lineage: Eukaryota; Metazoa; Chordata; Aves; Passeriformes; Estrildidae
Source: RefSeq, a predicted model, not a curated record
CUGAUGAACUCCAUCUGUAUUCCACAGGAACACUGUCAUACAGCCCCCCGGAAUGGACCCACUUGGGCUGGUACUACGGAGAGGCAGCAACGAUCUGGUCCCUGGGCAUCCUGCUGCACCAGAUGGUCUGCGGGCAGCACCCUUUCAGGAGGGGCCGGAAGAUCAGCUGGGACCAUCAGCUCUCGCUGCCACAGCGGCUCUCUCCAGAGUGCCAAGAUCUUAUCAGGUGGUGUUUAUCCAUGCACUUCUUGGACAGACCUUCCUUAGAAGACCUGUUCUGUGAACCUUGGAUACAGGAUAUUCACCUGCCAUAGAAGAAGGGAGAGAGCCACAUGCACACUUUGCUGCAGGGCCCUGCUGGGGCCCUGGGCAGAACCCUGACAGCCUGGUCUGACCCCCAGGGAAGGAGAAGGAGCCCCUGGAGAAGCUGUACCAGGUGGGGCUGCUGCUGCUGCUGGAGACAGUGAGGAUGACAUCAAGGAUGACAAACUCUUCCUCAAGUUGGCCACUGGCAGCUGAAGAUGAUGGACUUCUGGCACCGUCUUCAAAGCCAGGCUCCACAGCGAAUUUGCAGAUGAGUCCACAGCCGGGGAAAUGCUCCCAGAUUUGGGCAUUGCUCAGACUGGCUGGGAACAAAAGGUUCCCCCUGUGCUGGGGCAGAUGCAA